GACGAACGCUGGCGGCGUGCUUAACACAUGCAAGUCGAACGGAAAGGCCCUGCUUUUGUGGGGUGCUCGAGUGGCGAACGGGUGAGUAACACGUGAGUAACCUGUCCUUGACCUUGGGAUAACUUCAGGAAACUUGGGCUAAUACCGGAUAGGAGCUCCUGCUGCAUGGUGGGGGUUGGAAAGUUUCGGCGGUUGGGGAUGGACUCGCGGCUUAUCAGCUUGUUGGUUGGGUAGUGGCUUACCAAGGCUUUGACGGGUAGCCGGCCUGAGAGGGUGACCGGCCCCAUUGGGCCGGAGAUACGGCACAGACUCCUACGGGAGGCAGCAGUGGGGAAUAUUGCACCAUGGGCGGAGGCCUGAUGCAGCAACGCCGCGUGCGGGAUGACGGCCUUCGGGUUGUAAACCGCUUUCGCCUGUGACGAAGCGUGAGUGACGGUAAUGGGUAAAGAAGCACCGGCUAACUACGUG
RNAcentral lists this ribosomal RNA (468 nucleotides) under uncultured bacterium. Its description in RNAcentral is "partial 16S ribosomal RNA". It matches the Rfam family "Bacterial small subunit ribosomal RNA", at positions 28 to 507 of the family's 1533-position model. The record is from RNAcentral.